Long non-coding RNA from Mus musculus (house mouse), 3523 nucleotides. RefSeq annotates it as predicted gene, 53368. NCBI's taxonomy places the organism in Eukaryota, Metazoa, Chordata, Mammalia, Rodentia, Muridae. The transcript is spliced from 3 exons. The record is from RefSeq and is a predicted model, not a curated record.
UGGACUUUGAGGUCUCAGAAGUUCAAGGUAGUCCCAGCGUCACUCACUCUUCCUUCUGCCUGCUGAGCUAGAUUACCUCUUGUAUUCUUAUCUAGCACCGUGUCUGCCCGUGUGCUGCCAUGUUUCCAGCCAUGACAAUGGACUAAGCCUCUGAAACUGUAAGCCAGCCUCAGUUCACAAUAUUUCCUUAUUAAGAGUUGCCAUGGUCAUGGUAUCUCUUCACAGCACUAAAACCCCAACACUGAUGAUGAUGACGGUAAUGUCCCACUACAAUCAUAAAUAACCAAUUUCUUGGUUUUAGUACCAAAAUUUCUAUAUUCCUGGAAACUCGUCAGCUUCAGGCCAAACAAUGGAUGGUUACAUACUGUCAAUCUGAGACAAGGUUAUCCAAAGGCAUCCUACAGAGUAGAGGCUUGCUAAGAGCCAGGAGGCUGGCUAAUGGUAGAUAGUUAAUUAAGGACAUGGUUCAACAGUGGGUACAGUUAGUUAGGAGCGACAUAGCUAUUGAAGUUAAUGGUAGAAUCUGGGCUCAGUAACACUGAAUGCUGGAGAAUCCAGCACUCUGAGGUUGAGGAGAUGGCUUAGUGGUUAAGAUGCUUGCUGUACAAAUAGAAGGAUUGGAGUUUGAGUUCCCCAAUCCCAUAUACAUGGUGGACAUGGCAGAGAUAGGGGAUUCCCCAGAGCCAGUUGGUUAGCUAGAGUAGCCACAUUGUUUGACUGAGAGAACUUGCCUCCAUGAAUAAGGUUAUAGAGCCAUAGAGGAUGACCCUGACACCAACCUGGGGCCACCACAUGCACGGGCACCCCCACAUAUGCCUACGUGAGCAAGCAUACAUAUAAAAAUGGAAAAAUAGAUAAAAGUGAACUCCCCACCCCCUGCAAAGAACCCUGAACCUCAUUCCCCACUCCACAUCAUAUGAACUCUAAGAGAUGAGGUAGCUGCUGUUCAACCCUGUGUUUAUGGCAGGAAUCUUGGCUCUGGUAUAGCUAAAUACCCUUCCCAAGGUCACACUGUGAGUUAGUUUUGUGCUUCCCACGGAUGAGAGUCAGAAUAGAUUUAUGCCACAGCAGGGACCCAUUAGGAGAUCUGCCAGUUGGCUUAGGAUCAUGGCUGGCAUCUCCUGGAGGAGGAGGCUGGCUGGCACAGGCCAAUGGGUAUCUGGGGCUGGGGGCUGCUUCUUAGAAUUUAUAUACACAGUAGUAGUAGUAGUAGUAGUAGUAGUAGCAGCAGCAGCAGCAGCAGUGGCGGCGGCAGCAGUAGCCUGGGGCAAAACAACCUAAACAAACUUUUUGAGGAUGCUUUGGACUUAAUCCCAGCAGCUUGCCUACAUCUUUGGGAUUCUAGAAUAUACUGAAGACCAAUUGAGACAUCCAGCCCAAUGGACUGAACAACUGCUAGAUUCUUGGAACUUCCAUUGGAUUCUUGGACCUUCCAUUGGUAAAUAGCCAUUGUUGUGCUAGGUGAACCAUAGCCUAUAGGGCAUUUUAAUAAGUCCCCUUACACACACACACGCACACACACACACACACACACACACACACACACACACACACACACACACAAUCAUUCUAUCUGUUCAGUUCCUCUAGAAAACCCUGACUAAUACAAUAAUGUACUUUGAAGUUGAGAGCAUCUUUGGGAAAAUGGUCAAUAGUUCUGCCAGGGGUGGGGGUGGGAAUAUAGUUUGCUUUGAUUAAUGACAGCUGUUAGGAAAGCCACUCAUUUCUACAGCAUGAACUGAGGCCAGUGGGGUAUGGCCCCUCUUUAAGGCAAGUCCUUGUAGUAUUGAAUAGGAAUAGCCAUUCUUGAAAGCUGUGGUGUCAAAGCAAAUGAAAUCUACACCUAUGUCUCAGACCAGCAGCCUGGAUCACGUGGGUGCUGAUAAACUCAUGAAUUGUAGCUCCUUCCACAGCUCUCAUGUUGGAGUCUGCCUUCCAGCCAGAUUACCCGGUUAGCCACAUGCAGGGUGAAGCCUGAAUAACAAUUCUGUUUCAGCAGAGAUGUUCAAGGGGGUGAGCUGUGGACAGCUGGUGUGCUGGCUAGUUUUUGUCAGCUUGGUAUACACUAAAGACACUUAAGAAGAGGGAAACUUCAUUGAGGAAUUGCCUACAUCAGAUUGGCCCGUGGUCAUGUCCAAGGCAUUUAAAAUGAUGAACUUGAGAGGGCCCAGAUCACUGUGGAUAUUGCCAAUGCUGGGCACCUGGUCCUGGGAUAUAGAAGAAAGCAGAUUGAACAAGCCAAGAGGAUCCAGGCCAGUAAACAGCAGUGCUGUGGGCUCUGCUUCAGUUCCUGCCUCGACUUCCUUCAGCGAUGGACUAACUUUGACAUGGAAAUGUCUGGGCAGUUUCCUGGAGUGUGGUGCUUUAAGCACUGGAAAUGGGACGACUGGCUGAUCACUCUGUUACAUCCAGACUCUAAGCAUGUCCACUUGUGACUUGAUUGCCAUAGUCAGGGUACUGAGCACAUAUUUUGCACAAAUCACUGAUGAUAUAUGGCCUGAAUCCCAGGUCUAGCUUCUUCUCUCCCCUGUAGUGCCUAGGGACAGUGGCCAAGUUCCUCUGCUCUGAAAAUAUUUAUCUGUGAGGCCAGAGAUGUCCAGUCUUUUAACAGCUUGACAUAAUGCUGUUGUGAACAGAUGUCACGGGCUGUUUUCAUGAUUAUUCUGGGAUGCUUGUAGCCUCUAGCCAGGAGGUUAGACAUGCCUGUGUAAGGUGUUAAGUCAGACAGCAUGCAAGUAGACCAGCAUCUAUCCUCCGAGCAUUUCUGAAGUUCAUUUGAGGUAUAAGUCAGUUGAAGUUGGAGUGAUAGAAGGUAAAACCCACCAAGGUUCAGUGUCAACACAUCAGGUGUUCAUCUGACCUUGGGCAAACCACUUCAUCUGUCUGGUCCUGGGUGUCCUCACCUGUACUCCAAAUGGGAGAGGGAAGGCUGGGGGAAAAUGUCCAGUGCAGGGACCCACCUGUUGGCUGCAGAAUCAGGAUACAAAGCCACACCAAAGUUUACACUCAGCUACUCUGCAGUGCUGUCUCCUUCACCUAUUUCCAAGGAGAUGUAGAGACGAGGAGACAUACCAAUUAGGAACCCUAAACCAGGAGGUGGCCAUGAGGACAGUACACAAAGUGUCUGCAGAAGCAUCUCUUCACUACUGACAUCCUGACAGCAUCUCUGGCUCUGGACACCUGCUGGACUCACCCUCUGGCUGCAGAGUGCCCUGAAGCUUCCCCGGCAGAAUGCAUUUGAUGUGAUCAGCAGGCUUGAUGCAAUGCUCAGGCCCCAGGAACUUCCCUUCUUCAUGGAGAAGUGAAACUAGAAUCUUCUAAGGGCAGCUGGCCUGUCAUCCGAGUCUCACUGAGGAGUGGCAGGAAGGAGUCUGUGAACCUGCGGCUGUGGCACCUGCAGGACAUCUUUGAUCUGUUGUGGUGUUACUGCCAAGGAGAGCCGAGACUGGUUUUCUUGGCUCUCCCUCUCUUGUCAUUUUAAGAAUAAAAGUGACCAUCUCUCCUGUAUUUCUUCUUUCUUAUU